This 406-nucleotide ribosomal RNA is filed under the name uncultured bacterium. RNAcentral describes it as "partial 16S ribosomal RNA". It matches the Rfam family "Bacterial small subunit ribosomal RNA", at positions 30 to 526 of the family's 1533-position model. The record is from RNAcentral.
AUUGAACGCUGGCGGCAGGCUUAACACAUGCAAGUCGAGCGAGCGGCGGACGGGUGAGUAAUGUCUGGGCAACUGCCUGAUGGAGGGGGAUAACUACUGGAAACGGUAGCUAAUACCGCAUACAUUAUGCUGUUCCCCGAUGGAAUUAGCUAGUAGGUGGGGUAUUGGCUCACCUAGGCGACGAUCCCUAGCUGGUCUGAGAGGAUUACCAGCCACACUGGAACUGAGACACGGUCCAGACUCCUACGAGAGGCAGCAGUGGGGAAUAUUGCACAAUGGGCGCAAGCCUGAUGCAGCCAUGCCGCGUGUGUGAAGAAGGCCUUCGGGUUGUAAAGCACUUUCAGCGAGGAGGCGUUACUCGCAGAAGAAGCACCGGCUAACUCCGUGCCAGCAGCCGCGGUAAUUC